Molecule: ribosomal RNA, 827 nt
Filed under: uncultured Flavobacterium sp.
Lineage: Bacteria; Pseudomonadati; Bacteroidota; Flavobacteriia; Flavobacteriales; Flavobacteriaceae
Description: bacterial SSU rRNA
Rfam family: Bacterial small subunit ribosomal RNA
Source: RNAcentral
AUGAACGCUAGCGGCAGGCUUAACACAUGCAAGUCGAGGGGUAUAGUUCUUCGGAGCUAGAGACCGGCGCACGGGUGCGUAACGCGUAUGCAAUCUACCUUUCACAGAGGGAUAGCCCAGAGAAAUUUGGAUUAAUACCUCAUAGUAUUAUAGAGUGGCAUCACUUUAUAAUUAAAGUCACAACGGUGAAAGAUGAGCAUGCGUCCCAUUAGCUAGUUGGUAAGGUAACGGCUUACCAAGGCUACGAUGGGUAGGGGUCCUGAGAGGGAGAUCCCCCACACUGGUACUGAGACACGGACCAGACUCCUACGGGAGGCAGCAGUGAGGAAUAUUGGACAAUGGGCGCAAGCCUGAUCCAGCCAUGCCGCGUGCAGGAUGACGGUCCUAUGGAUUGUAAACUGCUUUUAUACAGGAAGAAACACCUCUACGUGUAGAGACUUGACGGUACUGUAAGAAUAAGGAUCGGCUAACUCCGUGCCAGCAGCCGCGGUAAUACGGAGGAUCCAAGCGUUAUCCGGAAUCAUUGGGUUUAAAGGGUCCGUAGGCGGUUUAGUAAGUCAGUGGUGAAAGCCCAUCGCUCAACGGUGGAACGGCCAUUGAUACUGCUAGACUUGAAUUAUUAGGAAGUAACUAGAAUAUGUAGUGUAGCGGUGAAAUGCUUAGAGAUUACAUGGAAUACCAAUUGCGAAGGCAGGUUACUACUAAUUGAUUGACGCUGAUGGACGAAAGCGUGGGUAGCGAACAGGAUUAGAUACCCUGGUAGUCCACGCCGUAAACGAUGGAUACUAGCUGUUGGGAGCAAUCUCAGUGGCUAAGCGAAAGUGAUA